RNAcentral lists this ribosomal RNA (630 nucleotides) under uncultured bacterium. RNAcentral's name for it is "bacterial SSU rRNA". It matches the Rfam family "Bacterial small subunit ribosomal RNA", at positions 554 to 1191 of the family's 1533-position model. The record is from RNAcentral.
UUGGGCGUAAGCGUGUGUAGGCGGUCUAUUAAGUCUGGCGUGAAAUUCCACAGCUUAACUGUGGAGGGUCGUUGGAAACUGGUAGGCUUGAGUACGGCAGAGGUAAGUGGAAUUCCAAGUGGAGCGGUGGAAUGCGUAGAUAUUUGGAGGAACACCAGUGGCGAAGGCGGCUUACUGGGCCGGAACUGACGCUGAGACACGAAAGCGUGGGGAGCAAACAGGAUUAGAUACCCUGGUAGUCCACGCUGUAAACGAUGAGCACUAAGUGUCGGAUGUAAAUUCGGCGCUGCAGUUAACACAGUAAGUGCUCCGCCUGGGGAGUACGGUCGCAAGACUGAAACUCAAAGGAAUUGACGGGGACUCGCACAAGCGGUGGAGCAUGCGGUUUAAUUCGAUGCAACGCGAAGAACCUUACCAGGUCUUGACAUCCCGCUGACAGCCCUAGAGAUAGGGUCUUCCUUCGGGACAGCGGAGACAGGUGGUGCAUGGUUGUCGUCAGCUCGUGUCGUGAGAUGUUGGGUUAAGUCCCGCAACGAGCGCAACCCUUAUCAUUAGUUGCUACCAUUAAGUUGAGCACUCUAAUGAGACCGCCGGUGACAAACCGGAUGAAGGUGGGGAUGACGUCAAAUC